AUUGAUGAGAAAUAUUUUAUUUUUACAAUGAAUUUUAUUUUGAAACAAUGACAUAUUAAAUUACUACUACCAUGCGACAAAUGUUCUAGCAUAUCGUUGCGGGCAUAUCGCGGACAGGCAACUGAAUUAAUUACAACGCUCGAGACGCUUCCCGGCGAAGUUAAAUAAGCGUUAACGUUGAAUUUUCAUUUCCCGCCAUGUUGACGCCGAAACCAGCCGAAUUUCAGGGACGAUCGCAAAGCUGUGCCACGUGCGAUAUCAAGGCUAUAUUUCAACAAUAGGAAAAAAUGAAAGUAGUACGAUAGUUGCACAAUAUUGAAUCAGGAAGUUGAAUCAGAAAAGAAGAAAAAUAUAUUAUUUAUAUAAAAAACGAAAAACAAAUCGACAAAAUAGUUCAACUUGUAAAGUUAUAUAUUUGUAUACUACCACUAAUAUGAAGAUAUUUUACGAAAUGAAUCGGCUAUUACGAAAGUUUCAACUUUGAUAAAACUAAUAUGACACACUCAGCUACAAAUUUCCGUUUUAAAAUCUAAAUUUCUUAAAAAUAAAUAGAAAUCUAAAUCUUUUAUAUCCAUGGUCAACAAGUUUAUAAGAAGAAUUAAAGUAAUUUCAUACUUGUCACGCACGAAAUGAAGUAUGUAUACCGGAAGUCAAUGUUCUAAGCUUAGUUAGUCAAUCGGAUUACAAUACACGAAACUAGAGACAUAGAAAGGCCAUGAAAAAAAUAUAUUUACAAUGAACAAAAUAUUUAGAAGAAGAAAGAUCAUAGAAACAGUAAGAACAUAACGUAAAUCACAUGAUCGAAGAAGCUCAUGGAAAAAUUAAGUAUUAUUUAAUUUAAUUAUCAUUAAACAUGAUUUUAAAACCUUAUGUAACAACAAUAGAGAAUAAAAUAAAUGAAUUUCUUUCUCUCAUCAUAUAAUAAAUUGCACAAAAGAUAAUACCCCACAAUAAAACCGUUAAUAUUUCAUUGUUUUUCAAAAAUUCCUUUCGUUUAUAUGCGUAUAUAUAUGUAUAUGUGGUAUGUGUAAAUGUUGGCGAUGUUCUGUUGACAUGAAGAACCGUUAGAAGGAUUCUAAUAUUCGUUCAUGUGUUAUUACUAAUCUAUUCCCGAAAACGAGUUUACAACGAACGCACUAUGAAGUUUCCAACAUUUAAAAAUACCAAAUAACGAUCUUUUCUAAUAAUAUGUAUUGAACGAUGUCAUUAGAAUGGAUACUAAAAAUUUUAGGAAUAAUCGAGAAUAAAAAAAAA
Apis dorsata (giant honeybee) is the source of this 1254-nucleotide long non-coding RNA. RefSeq lists it as uncharacterized. Lineage: Eukaryota; Metazoa; Arthropoda; Insecta; Hymenoptera; Apidae. The record is from RefSeq and is a predicted model, not a curated record. The transcript is spliced from 2 exons.